Etheostoma cragini (Arkansas darter) is the source of this 106-nucleotide long non-coding RNA. RefSeq lists it as uncharacterized. NCBI's taxonomy places the organism in Eukaryota, Metazoa, Chordata, Actinopteri, Perciformes, Percidae. The transcript has 2 exons. The record is from RefSeq and is a predicted model, not a curated record.
AUCUAAGUAUGAAACUGAUGCUAUCCAGCGCACUGAGGAGCUUGAGGAAUCCAAGAAAAAGCUGGCUCAGCGUCUUCAGGAGGCUGAGGAGCAGAUUGAGGCAGUG